Molecule: ribosomal RNA, 801 nt
Filed under: Flavobacterium sasangense
Lineage: Bacteria; Pseudomonadati; Bacteroidota; Flavobacteriia; Flavobacteriales; Flavobacteriaceae
Description: bacterial SSU rRNA
Rfam family: Bacterial small subunit ribosomal RNA
Source: RNAcentral
UUGAGACCGGCGCACGGGUGCGUAACGCGUAUGCAAUCUACCUUGUACAGGGGAAUAGCCCAGAGAAAUUUGGAUUAAUGCCCCAUAGUAUAUAACCUUCGCAUGUUGGUUAUAUUAAAGUUCCAACGGUACAAGAUGAGCAUGCGUCCCAUUAGUUAGUUGGUAAGGUAACGGCUUACCAAGACGAUGAUGGGUAGGGGUCCUGAGAGGGAGAUCCCCCACACUGGUACUGAGACACGGACCAGACUCCUACGGGAGGCAGCAGUGAGGAAUAUUGGUCAAUGGUCGCAAGACUGAACCAGCCAUGCCGCGUGCAGGAAGACGGUCCUAUGGAUUGUAAACUGCUUUUAUACAGGAAGAAACCCUCCCACGUGUGGGAGCUUGACGGUACUGUAGGAAUAAGGAUCGGCUAACUCCGUGCCAGCAGCCGCGGUAAUACGGAGGAUCCAAGCGUUAUCCGGAAUCAUUGGGUUUAAAGGGUCCGUAGGCGGUCUUAUAAGUCAGUGGUGAAAGCCCAUCGCUCAACGAUGGAACUGCCAUUGAUACUGUAAGACUUGAAUGCUUAGGAAGUAACUAGAAUAUGUAGUGUAGCGGUGAAAUGCUUAGAUAUUACAUGGAAUACCAAUUGCGAAGGCAGGUUACUACUAAGUGAUUGACGCUGAUGGACGAAAGCGUGGGGAGCGAACAGGAUUAGAUACCCUGGUAGUCCACGCCGUAAACGAUGGAUACUAGCUGUUCGGCGCAAGUUGAGUGGCUAAGCGAAAGUGAUAAGUAUCCCACCUGGGGAGUACGCACGCAAGU